This 233-nucleotide unclassified non-coding RNA is filed under the name Hevea brasiliensis (rubber tree). Lineage: Eukaryota; Viridiplantae; Streptophyta; Magnoliopsida; Malpighiales; Euphorbiaceae. The record is from RNAcentral.
CAUCAAUACAAUCAGAAAAGCAUCAAGCCAUGCGCUCGCAACUGCCAAUUUGAGAAAAGAAUUUGAAUUGACUGAAAAACAAGCUGAAGCUAUAUUAGAUAUAAGCCUGAGAAGGCUUACAGCACUCGAGAGAAAUAAGUUUGUCGACGAGGGGAAAUCCUUGAGAACACAAAUUUCCAAGUUAGAGGAACUUUUGUCUAGUGAGAAGCAAAUACUCCAGUUGAUUGAAGAAG